This 133-nucleotide non-coding RNA is filed under the name Sphingomonas koreensis. Its description in RNAcentral is "Manganese sequence". The stretch from base 1 to 103 matches the Rfam family "Manganese Mn2+ riboswitch aptamer (yybP-ykoY)". From Rfam's summary of the family: This RNA was originally discovered in E. coli during a large scale screen and was named SraF. The family was later found to exist upstream of related families of protein genes in many bacteria, including the the yybP and ykoK genes in B. subtilis. The specific functions of these proteins are unknown, but this structured RNA element may be involved in their genetic regulation as a riboswitch. Lineage: Bacteria; Pseudomonadati; Pseudomonadota; Alphaproteobacteria; Sphingomonadales; Sphingomonadaceae. The record is from RNAcentral.
GCCGCAGUCAUCUGGGGAGUAGCCAGCCGUCUUGCGACGGGCCUCCGCGUCAACACACUUGGUCGAGAGGCCAUGGCGCGAAGGGAGCAGGGACUUGCGUCCCGUUCGGGCGAGACCAAUGGCGCCAUGCUUU